AAAACGACUCUCGGCAACGGAUAUCUCGGCUCUCGCAUCGAUGAAGAACGNAGCGAAAUGCGAUACUUGGUGUGAAUUGNAGAAUCCCGUGAACCAUCGAGUCUUUGAANGNAAGUUAUGCCCAAAGCCGUCAGGCCAAGGACACGUCUACCUGGGCNUCAUGC
RNAcentral lists this ribosomal RNA (164 nucleotides) under Solanum hovei. RNAcentral describes it as "5.8S ribosomal RNA". It matches the Rfam family "5.8S ribosomal RNA". Rfam says of the family: 5.8S ribosomal RNA (5.8S rRNA) is a component of the large subunit of the eukaryotic ribosome. Lineage: Eukaryota; Viridiplantae; Streptophyta; Magnoliopsida; Solanales; Solanaceae. The record is from RNAcentral.